UGGCGGCGUGCUUAACACAUGCAAGUCGAACGAUGAAGCCCUUCGGGGUGGAUUAGAGGCGAACGGGUGAGUAACACGUGGGCAAUCUGCCCUUCACUCUGGGACAAGGCCUGGAAACGGGGUCUAAUACCGGAUAACACUCCUACUCGCAUGGGUGGGGGUUAAAAGCUCCGGCGGUGAAGGAUGAGCCCGCGGCCUAUCAGCUUGUUGGUGAGGUAACGGCUCACCAAGGCGACGACGGGUUGCCGGCCUGAGAGGGCGACCGGCCCCUCUGGGACUGAGACACGGCCCUUAUUCCUACGGGAGGCAGCAGUGGGGAAUAUUGCACAAUGGGCGAAAGCCUGAUGCAGCGACGCCGCGUGAGGGAUGACGGCCUUCGGGUUGUAAACCUCUUUCAGCAGGGAAGAAGCGAAAGUGACGGUACCUGCAGAAGAAGCGCCGGCUAACUACGUGCCAGCAGCCGCGGUAAUACGUAGGGCGCAAGCGUUGUCCGGAAUUAUUGGGCGUAAAGAGCUCGUAGGCGGCUUGUCACGUCGGGUGUGAAAGCCCGGGGCUUAACCCCGGGUCUGCAUUCGAUACGGGCUAGCUAGAGUGUGGUAGGGGAGAUCGGAAUUCCACGUGUUGCGGUGAAAUGCACACAUAUCUGCAGGAACACCGGUGGCAAAGGCGGAUCUCUGGGCCAUUACUGACGCUGAGGAGCGAAAGCGUGGGGAGCGAACAGGAUUAGAUACCCUGGUAGUCCACGCCGUAAA
RNAcentral lists this ribosomal RNA (752 nucleotides) under Streptomyces minoensis. RNAcentral's name for it is "bacterial SSU rRNA". It matches the Rfam family "Bacterial small subunit ribosomal RNA", at positions 37 to 806 of the family's 1533-position model. The record is from RNAcentral. Lineage: Bacteria; Bacillati; Actinomycetota; Actinomycetes; Kitasatosporales; Streptomycetaceae.